Molecule: ribosomal RNA, 538 nt
Filed under: uncultured bacterium
Lineage: Bacteria
Description: bacterial SSU rRNA
Rfam family: Bacterial small subunit ribosomal RNA
Source: RNAcentral
AGAGUUUGAUCCUGGCUCAGAACGAACGCUGGCGGCGUGCCUAACACAUGCAAGUCGAACGGAAUUAGAGAGCUUGCUCUUUAGUUUAGUGGCGCACGGGUGAGUAACGCGUAGAUAAUCUGCCUGAUGAUCUGGGAUAACACUUCGAAAGGGGUGCUAAUACCGGAUAAGCCCACGAAGUCUUCGGACUUUGCGGGAAAAGGGGGGGACCUUCGGGCCUUCUGUCAUCAGAUGAGUCUGCGUACCAUUAGCUAGUUGGUAGGGUAAUGGCCUACCAAGGCUACGAUGGUUAGCUGGUCUGAGAGGAUGAUCAGCCACACUAGAACUGAGACACGGUCCAGACUCCUACGGGAGGCAGCAGUGGGGAAUUUUGCGCAAUGGGCGAAAGCCUGACGCAGCAACGCCGCGUGAGUGAUGAAGGCUUUCGGGUCGUAAAGCUCUGUCGAGGGGAAAGAAGUGCAUUGUGGCUAAUAUCCACGAUACUUGACGGUACCCCUAAAGGAAGCACCGGCUAACUCCGUGCCAGCAGCCGCGGUAA